UACGUAGGGGGCGAGCGUUGUCCGAAGUUACUGGGCGUAAAGCGCGCGUAGGCGGUCUCUUAAGUCCGGGGUGAAAGGUUCAGCGCUCAACGCGAACAGUGCCCUGGAGACUGGGGGACUUGAGUGUGGGAGGGGGCAGUGGAAUUCCGGGUGUGGCGGUGAAAUGCGUAGAUAUCCGGAGGAACACCGAUGGCGAAGGCAGCUGCCUGGCCUGACACUGACGCUGAGGUGCGAAAGCGUGGGGAGCGAACGGG
RNAcentral lists this ribosomal RNA (254 nucleotides) under uncultured bacterium. Its description in RNAcentral is "partial 16S ribosomal RNA". It matches the Rfam family "Bacterial small subunit ribosomal RNA", at positions 524 to 776 of the family's 1533-position model. The record is from RNAcentral.